AUUGAACGCUGGCGGCAGGCCUAACACAUGCAAGUCGAGCGGAUGAAGGGAGCUUGCUCCUGGAUUCAGCGGCGGACGGGUGAGUAAUGCCUAGGAAUCUGCCUGGUAGUGGGGGAUAACGUCCGGAAACGGGCGCUAAUACCGCAUACGUCCUGAGGGAGAAAGUGGGGGAUCUUCGGACCUCACGCUAUCAGAUGAGCCUAGGUCGGAUUAGCUAGUUGGUGGGGUAAAGGCCUACCAAGGCGACGAUCCGUAACUGGUCUGAGAGGAUGAUCAGUCAACAGGGAAAGAAGACACGGCACAGACGAGUAGGGGAGGUAGAGGGAGGAGAUAUGGGACAAUGGGCGAGAGGCUGAGCCAGCCGUGUGGCGUGUGGGAAGAAGGUGGUGGGAUUGUAACACACGGUAGGUGGGGGAGAGUAGCAGUAAUUUAAUACCUGUCUGUAUAGACGUCAACAACAGACUCAGCACCGGAAAACUUGGUGCCAGCACCCGCGGUAAUAGCCGGAAGAGCAAACGUCGGAAC
RNAcentral lists this ribosomal RNA (525 nucleotides) under uncultured bacterium. RNAcentral's name for it is "partial 16S ribosomal RNA". It matches the Rfam family "Bacterial small subunit ribosomal RNA", at positions 33 to 541 of the family's 1533-position model. The record is from RNAcentral.